RNAcentral lists this ribosomal RNA (252 nucleotides) under uncultured bacterium. RNAcentral's name for it is "partial 16S ribosomal RNA". It matches the Rfam family "Bacterial small subunit ribosomal RNA", at positions 524 to 776 of the family's 1533-position model. The record is from RNAcentral.
UACGUAGGGUGCAAGCGUUAAUCGGAAUUACUGGGCGUAAAGCGUGCGCAGGCGGUUUUGUAAGCCAGAUGUGAAAUCCCCGGGCUUAACCUGGGAAUGGCAUUUGGGACUGCAAGGCUGGAGUUUGGCAGAGGAGACUGGAAUUCCCGGUGUAGCAGUGAAAUGCGUAGAUAUCGGGAGGAAUACCGAUGGCGAAGGAAGGUCUCUGGGCUAUAACUGACGCUCAUGCACGAAAGCGUGGGAGCAAACAGG